RNAcentral lists this ribosomal RNA (372 nucleotides) under uncultured organism. RNAcentral describes it as "bacterial SSU rRNA". It matches the Rfam family "Bacterial small subunit ribosomal RNA", at positions 526 to 896 of the family's 1533-position model. The record is from RNAcentral.
CAGAGGGGGCAAGCGUUAUUCGGAAUUAUUGGGCGUAAAGGGCGCGUAGGCGGCCUGGCAAGUGGAAGGUGAAAUCCCUCGGCUUAACCGAGGAACUGCCCUCCAAACUGCUUGGCUUGAGACCAGGAGAGGUGAGUGGAAUUCCCAGUGUAGCGGUGAAAUGCGUAGAUAUUGGGAGGAACACCAGUGGCGAAGGCGGCUCACUGGACUGGUACUGACGCUGAGGCGCGAAAGCGUGGGGAGCAAACGGGAUUAGAUACCCCGGUAGUCCACGCCGUAAACGAUGAGUGCUUGGUGUAGCGGGUAUCGACCCCUGCUGUGCCGAAGUCAACACAUUAAGCACUCCGCCUGGGGAGUACGGUCGCAAGGCUG